Molecule: ribosomal RNA, 693 nt
Filed under: uncultured bacterium
Lineage: Bacteria
Description: bacterial SSU rRNA
Rfam family: Bacterial small subunit ribosomal RNA
Source: RNAcentral
GCCCUUGAGUUUGAUCCUGGCUCAGGAUGAACGCUAGCGGGAGGCUUAACACAUGCAAGUCGAGGGGCAGCAUAGGGUAGCAAUACUCUGAUGGCGACCGGCAAACGGGUGAGUAACGCGUAUGUAACCUACCCUGUACAGGGGGAUAACCCGGAGAAAUUCGGACUAAUAUCCCAUAACAAUAUCCGGGGGCAUCUUUGGAUAUUUAAAGUUCCGGCGGUACGGGAUGGGCAUGCGUAACAUUAGCUAGUUGGUAAGGUAACGGCUUACCAAGGCUUUGAUGUUUAGGGGUCCUGAGAGGGUGGUCCCCCACACUGGUACUGAGACACGGACCAGACUCCUACGGGAGGCAGCAGUGAGGAAUAUUGGUCAAUGGGCGCAAGCCUGAACCAGCCAUCCCGCGUGCAGGAAGACGGCGCUAUGCGUUGUAAACUGCUUUUCCAGGGAGAGAAACUUGCGCACGUGUUGCGCAAUUGACGGUACCCUGGGAAUAAGCAUCGGCUAACUCCGUGCCAGCAGCCGCGGUAAUACGGAGGAUGCGAGCGUUAUCCGGAUUCAUUGGGUUUAAAGGGUGCGUAGGCGGACUAUUAAGUCAGUGGUGAAAUCCUGCAGCUUAACUGCAGAACUGCCAUUGAUACUGAUAGCCUUGAGUUUGGUUAAGGUAGGCGGAAUGUGUAAUGUAGCGGUGAAAAU